This 339-nucleotide ribosomal RNA is filed under the name Deltaproteobacteria bacterium CG06_land_8_20_14_3_00_44_19. Its description in RNAcentral is "bacterial SSU rRNA". It matches the Rfam family "Bacterial small subunit ribosomal RNA", at positions 1215 to 1533 of the family's 1533-position model. The record is from RNAcentral. Lineage: Bacteria; Deltaproteobacteria.
UACACACGUGCUACAAUGGGCGGUACAAAGGGUUGCAAUCCCGCGAGGGGGAGCUAAUCUCAAAAAGCCGCUCUCAGUUCAGAUUGGAGUCUGCAACUCGACUCCAUGAAGGCGGAAUCGCUAGUAAUCGCGGAUCAGCAUGCCGCGGUGAAUACGUUCCCGGGCCUUGUACACACCGCCCGUCACACCAUGAGAGCUGACUGUACCAGAAGUCGCUCGGCUAACCCUAAGGUUCGCCUUAGGGAGGCAGGCGCCUAAGGUAUGGUUGGUGAUUGGGGUGAAGUCGUAACAAGGUAGCCGUAGGGGAACCUGCGGCUGGAUCACCUCCUUUCUAAGGAG